AUCUUCCACCUCAUCAUUGCCGCAAUUCUCAUUCUAGCAUCGUGGGAAAACUAUCAAUCCGAAUAUUUCUUCUUAGAAAGUAUAUGAUUUGACCCCUAUGAGCGACCCACCGGAUCGGAUGAUUCAGAUUGGUCGGAACUCGGAAUCAUAAGUGGCCAAUUCAUACCAUGUUUCCAGGGUUAGACUUAGUGUCUAGAGUCUGGUCGAUUCCGAUCGUUUCCGGCCGAUCAAGAAUCCAGAUUGGAAUCAAAUCAAAAUUGGCCGGUGGAUCAAUUCAGAUCGGAUCCCCGGCCCAGAAGUCGUAUUUCCUUUUCUUUGUCGUAAACGGUAGACCUUCCGAUUUGCAGGGCAAGAAUUCUUAGAAAACUCGAAUCCCCAACCAAAUUCGAUGUAGCUCCGGACGAGUUCUGCUGCCGUUCACACUGUCAAGCGUGCGUAGUCAGUAAUGAAACUAGAAGAGAAGGAAUUGAACACUGCUGCUGGUCCUGGUUGUCAAGGCAGUAUCGUUCGCCCUUUUGCAGAAAAUCCGCAAGCCGGAGAUGAAGGUGGCGUACAGAUCGUUUGUUUCACGGAGGAUCUUCGAGGUGUAAUUCUGCAUUUUCAGAUCAUAUGGCUCAAGAAACUGGGACCAUAGAUAUAUGCAUGGAUUGGAUGCAAUACUGCAAACUUUGGGCAUUUAUAUGCAGCUGCACCUGCUUGACAUAACCAUACAGUGAAUGUAGCAUCAGUACUUGGGGGAGCCUCUGAUAACAUGGGAUCAAGCAUUGCUCAGCGAUUAGAUCCAUGAACAUGUUUCUGUUGAUCUUCUAUAAGUAUUUAGUAACCACACAAAAGAGAGUGAUAGAAAGGUACCUAUGCUUGGUCUAAGUUUUGAUCUGGACCCUAGAUCAUGAAUUUGAUGUUCCUAAUAAAGUUGUACCUCAACUGGUGUAUCUAGCAAUUUGUGUAAUGUCAAACUGUGACAUAUCCUUACCAAAAAAAGAAAAAGAAGAGAGAAGCUGUGACAUAUUUUUAGAUUUGGUACAAUUGAAACUUACAAUAUAACUGUCAAUGAAAUUCUUUAGUUUUAUCGUGCUCUUAUUUCAAUGGUGUUGACAUGGUCAAUUCAUGAACUCCAAUAUGUAUCUAUUCCAUGAAUUAUUUCAGUUGUGAUGUUACUUCUAAUUGUCCUUCUUUCCGACUUUAUGAUCUUUAGCAUCUCCACGAUGGACUUUUCUUAGAGUAUUGACUUCACCUGUAAUAUCAUUUGUUCCUCUCAUGUGUGAUUUUUGUUCUUAGAAAUUGUCUUGGGGAACUAUCUAGUGGAAUACUCUUGCAUAUUCACUUGUGCAUGCUUUUGUUUUGGGUGUGCGUUUGAGAGUGAGUACAAGUGUAAUGCCCUUGUUCUGUUGUUGAUCAAUGGAAAAUAGCUGAUGGAAAGUGUCUCAAAAGAAAGAAGAAAUUGUAUGGGCCUAAAAAACCGGAAACUAUGUUACUGAAAUGUAAUUGAAAAUUUUGGAAAAUGAUUUACCGUUUUUAAUUUCUGGA
Long non-coding RNA from Macadamia integrifolia, 1527 nucleotides. RefSeq lists it as uncharacterized. NCBI's taxonomy places the organism in Eukaryota, Viridiplantae, Streptophyta, Magnoliopsida, Proteales, Proteaceae. The record is from RefSeq and is a predicted model, not a curated record. The transcript is spliced from 5 exons.